AUUGAACGCUGGCGGCAUGCCUUACACAUGCAAGUCGAACGGUAACGCGGGGCAACCUGGCGACGAGUGGCGAACGGGUGAGUAAUGCAUCGGAACGUGCCUGGUAAUGGGGGAUAACUGCUCGAAAGAGCAGCUAAUACCGCAUACGACCUGAGGGUGAAAGGGGGGGAUCGCAAGACCUCCCGUUAUCAGAGCGGCCGAUGUCGGAUUAGCUAGUUGGUGGGGUAAAAGCCCACCAAGGCGACGAUCCGUAGCUGGUCUGAGAGGACGACCAGCCACACUGGGACUGAGACACGGCCCAGACUCCUACGGGAGGCAGCAGUGGGGGAAUUUUGGACAAUGGACGCAAGUCUGAUCCAGCCAUGCCGCGUGCGGGAAGAAGGCCUUCGGUGUAACGCUUUGUCAGGAAGAAAUACGUUCUAGGCGUAAUACCUUGGGAGGAGUGACGGUACC
Molecule: ribosomal RNA, 453 nt
Filed under: uncultured bacterium
Lineage: Bacteria
Description: bacterial SSU rRNA
Rfam family: Bacterial small subunit ribosomal RNA
Source: RNAcentral